Molecule: ribosomal RNA, 911 nt
Filed under: uncultured bacterium
Lineage: Bacteria
Description: bacterial SSU rRNA
Rfam family: Bacterial small subunit ribosomal RNA
Source: RNAcentral
AAUCAACGCUGGCGGCGUGCCUAACACAUGCAAGUCGAACGAGAAAGUGGAGCAAUCCAUGAGUAAAGUGGCGCACGGGUGAGUAACACGUGACUAACCUACCCAGGAGUGGGGGAUAACUGAGGGAAACCUUAGCUAAUACCGCAUAACACCUACGGGUCAAAGGAGCAAUUCGCUUCUGGAGGGGGUCGCGGCCGAUUAGUUAGUUGGCAGGGUAAUGGCCUACCAAGACGAUGAUCGGUAUCCGGCCUGAGAGGGCGCACGGACACACUGGAACUGAAACACGGUCCAGACUCCUACGGGAGGCAGCAGUGGGGAAUUUUGCGCAAUGGGGGAAACCCUGACGCAGCAACGCCGCGUGGAGGAUGAAGUCCUUCGGGACGUAAACUCCUUUCGAUCGGGACGAUUAUGACGGUACCGGAAGAAGAAGCCCCGGCUAACUUCGUGCCAGCAGCCGCGGUAAUACGAGGGGGGCGAGCGUUGUUCGGAAUUAUUGGGCGUAAAGGGUGCGUAGGCGGUUUGGUAAGUCUGAUGUGAAAUCUAUGGGCUCAACUCAUAGUCUGCAUCGGAAACUGCCGGGCUUGAGUGUGGGAGAGGUGAGUGGAAUUCCUGGUGUAGCGGUGAAAUGCGUAGAUAUCAGGAGGAACACCUGUGGCGAAAGCGGCUCACUGGACCAUAACUGACGCUGAUGCACGAAAGCUAGGGGAGCAAACAGGAUUAGAUACCCUGGUAGUCCUAGCCCUAAACGAUGACUGCUUGGUGUGACGGGUACCCAAUCCCGCCGUGCCGUAGCUAACGCGUUAAGCAGUCCGCCUGGGGGAGUACGGUCGCAAGGCUGAAACUCAAGGAAUUGACGGGGGCCCGCACAAGCGGUGGANCAUGUGGUUUAAUUCGACGCACGCGAAGAACUU